RNAcentral lists this microRNA precursor (84 nucleotides) under Bombyx mori (domestic silkworm). RNAcentral describes it as "mir-2807 microRNA precursor family". It matches the Rfam family "mir-2807 microRNA precursor family". The record is from Rfam by way of RNAcentral. Lineage: Eukaryota; Metazoa; Arthropoda; Insecta; Lepidoptera; Bombycidae.
UUAACUCUAAUUUGUAUGGAGUUGGAACGUUUGCCUGCGUUUGCCGCUAGGGGCGCUGUUCCAACUGCAUGUAAAUUUGAGUUA